This 1265-nucleotide long non-coding RNA is filed under the name Junco hyemalis (dark-eyed junco). RNAcentral describes it as "lncRNA (ENSJHYG00000000645.1)". The record is from RNAcentral. Lineage: Eukaryota; Metazoa; Chordata; Aves; Passeriformes; Passerellidae.
CCCCAGCCCCUCCUGAGCCCCCACAGCGAGGGGACCCCCAAAACCCCCCCGGAACCCCCCCCAUACUCACGGCCGGGGGUCGGAUUUUGCAGAUUCCGCUUUUCUCGGCGAUCGGGCGGAUCUUGGCGAUGUAACCCAGGGGGUCGCUGAACUCGGCCCAGCUGGGCUCGAACACGGGACACUCCGGGGGCGGCAAAAAGUCCUCGGGGGGCUCCGGUUCCGCCGCCGGCCACGGCGACCCCCACUCCCCGCGCUGCUCCGGGCCGGCCCCGCCGCCGCGGGUGCCCCCGAGGGGCCGCCGGGCCUUGUCCUCGGCUCCGGGCCGCUCCCCGCCGCCGCGGGCCCCGCGCUCCUCGGCGGCUUUGCGGGGGCUCCGCUCCUCGCCCGGGGGGCGCCCCGCGGCUCCUUUGCCGGGUCCCCCCCCGCCCUUAGCCCGCGGUUCUGCCCCGGUCCGGGGGGGCCGCGGGGCGCUCGCGGCCUUCUCGUCCCCCGCCGCUUUGGGGGGCGCGGCCGCCGGCCGGGGGGGCCCCGCGUCCCCGGAGGGCUCCGGGCCCCCCCACUCCGCGCCGCGGCCCCGCUUGGGCUCCUCGUCCCCGUCGGGCGGCGGCGGCGGCGGGGGGACCCACGGCGGGGACCCCCCCGGGCCGGGCCCCCACUCGGGCCAGCCGCCCCCUGCGCGCUGCUGCUCCCCCUCCUCCAUGCCUCGCACCGAGGGGAGCGGGGGGUUCCGGGGCUGCCCGCCGGGACCCCCUCAGGGGGCCAUGGAGGCCCCGCCGCCCCCGCGCCGCCCCCUCACAGGCCGCGGGCCGCCCCCCCCGGCCCCGAGCCGCGGGGAAAGGGGUGUUAAGACAACGCCCGCGAGCUCCGCCGACCCGCCGGCCCCUCCGCGGCCCCUGCGCCGCCUCUCCGGCCCGUCCAGCCCCGCCGCCCCGCGCUCCGCCCGCCUCACAGCCCAGGCCUGCCCGGUCCCCCCGGCCGGGCCGCCGCCGCCAUCUUGGAUCCUCCUCCUCCUGCCGCCCGCCCCCCGCCCGCGCGCACGCGCGCACUGCGCAGGCGCGGCCGCGCACGCCGCCCCGGGCGGUGUGAUGAGUCCCGCGUGUCCUUCCGCCGCGGGACCAGAACGGGCGCCGAGCGCCGCCACCGCCGGCGAGGGCGGGAACAGGGAGAGGGGAAAACAGCACCGGAGCCUCCCCGCCGUGGUCCGGGUGGCGGGAGACGGUGUGGCGGGAUGAGGGACGGAGAAAUAGUCCCCAGGCUCCGCCCCG